UUAGUUAGUUGUGGGGUAAAGGCCUACCAAGACAAUGAUGCAUAGCCGAGUUGAAAGACUGAUCGGCCACAUUGGGACUGAGACCCGGCCCAAACUCCUACGGGAGGCUGCAGUAGGGAAUCUUCCACAAUGGGCGAAAGCCUGAUGGAGCAACGCCGCGUGUGUGAUGAAGGCUUUCGGGUCGUAAAGCACUGUUGUAUGGGAAGAAAAGUUAAGGUAGGGAAUGACCUUAGCCUGACGGUACCAUACCAGAAAGGGACGGCUAAAUACGUGCCAGCAGCCGCGGUAAUACGUAUGUCCCGAGCGUUAUCCGGAUUUAUUGGGCGUAAAGCGAGCGCAGACGGUUGGUUAAGUCUGAUGUGAAAGCCCGGAGCUCAACUCCGGAAAGGCAUUGGAAACUGGUUAACUUGAGUGCAGUAGAGGUAAGUGGAACUCCAUGUGUAGCGGUGGAAUGCGUAGAUAUAUGGAAGAACACCAGCGGCGAAGGCGGCUUACUGGACUGUAACUGACGUUGAGGCUCGAAAGUGUGGGUAGCAAACAGGAUUAGAUACCCUGGUAGUCCACACCGUAAACGAUGAACACUAGGUGUUAGGAGGUUUCCGCCUCUUAGUGCCGAAGCUAACGCAUUAAGUGUUCCGCCUGGGGAGUACGACCGCAAGGUUGAAACUCAAAGGAAUUGACGGGGACCCGCACAAGCGGUGGAGCAUGUGGUUUAAUUCGAAGCAACGCGAAGAACCUUACCAGGUCUUGACAUCCUUUGAAGCUUUUAGAAAUAGAAGUGUUCUCUUCGGAGACAAAGUGACAGGUGGUGCAUGGUCGUCGUCAGCUCGUGUCGUGAGAUGUUGGGUUAAGUCCCGCAACGAGCGCAACCCUUAUUGUUAGUUGCCAGCAUUCAGAUGGGCACUCUAGCGAGACUGCCGGUGACAAACCGGAGGAAGGCGGGGACGACGUCAGAUCAUCAUGCCCCUUAUGACCUGGGCUACACACGUGCUACAAUGGCGUAUACAACGAGUUGCCAACCUGCGAAGGUGAGCUAAUCUCUUAAAGUACGUCUCAGUUCGGACUGCAGUCUGCAACUCGACUGCACGAAGUCGGAAUCGCUAGUAAUCGCGGAUCAGCACGCCGCGGUGAAUACGUUCCCGGGUCUUGUACACACCGCCCGUCACACCAUGGAAGUUUGUAAUGCCCAAAGCCGGUGGCCUAACCGUAAGGAGGGAACC
This 1220-nucleotide ribosomal RNA is filed under the name Leuconostoc carnosum. Its description in RNAcentral is "bacterial SSU rRNA". It matches the Rfam family "Bacterial small subunit ribosomal RNA", at positions 241 to 1454 of the family's 1533-position model. Lineage: Bacteria; Bacillati; Bacillota; Bacilli; Lactobacillales; Lactobacillaceae. The record is from RNAcentral.